Molecule: ribosomal RNA, 465 nt
Filed under: uncultured bacterium
Lineage: Bacteria
Description: bacterial SSU rRNA
Rfam family: Bacterial small subunit ribosomal RNA
Source: RNAcentral
CCUACGGGAUGCACCAGUGGGGAAUAUUGCACAAUGGGCGCAAGCCUGAUGCAGCCAUGCCGCGUGUAUGAAGAAGGCCUUCGGGUUGUAAAGUACUUUCAGCGGGGAGGAAGGUGUUGUGGUUAAUGACCACAGCAAUUGACGUUACCUGCAGAAGAAGCACCGGCUAACUCCGUGCCAGCAGCCGCGGUAAUACGGAGGGUGCAAGCGUUAAUCGGAAUUACUGGGCGUAAAGCGCACGCAGGCGGUCUGUCAAGUCGGAUGUGAAAUCCCCGGGCUCAACCUGGGGACUGCAUUCGAAACUGGCAGGCUAGAGUCUUGUAAAGGGGGGUAGAAUUCCAGGUGUAGCGGUGAAAUGCGUAGAGAUCUGGAGGAGUACCGGUGGCGAAGGCGGCCCCCUGGACAAAGACUGACGCUCAGGUGCGAAAGCGUGGGGAGCAAACAGGAUUAGAUACCCGAGUAGUC